UAUCCUGUUGAAGAACCACAAGUCGGUACCGCAUUGCGCAUGAUUAGGAGAUAAAAAAAAGAUGAUGAUGAAAAGGAUGAUGAUCU
Molecule: microRNA precursor, 86 nt
Filed under: Trichophyton rubrum BMU01672
Lineage: Eukaryota; Fungi; Ascomycota; Eurotiomycetes; Onygenales; Arthrodermataceae
Source: RNAcentral